Molecule: ribosomal RNA, 253 nt
Filed under: uncultured bacterium
Lineage: Bacteria
Description: partial 16S ribosomal RNA
Rfam family: Bacterial small subunit ribosomal RNA
Source: RNAcentral
UACGUAGGGUGCGAGCGUUGCCCGGAUUUAUUGGGCGUAAAGGGCGCGUAGGCGGUUUGUCGCGUCUGCCGUGAAAGUCCGGGGCUCAACUCCGGAUCUGCGGUGGGUACGGGCAGACUAGAGUGAUGUAGGGGAGACUGGAAUUCCUGGUGUAGCGGUGAAAUGCGCAGAUAUCAGGAGGAACACCGAUGGCGAAGGCAGGUCUCUGGGCAUUAACUGACGCUGAGGAGCGAAAGCAUGGGGAGCGAACAGG